AUCAUGUUGAUUUGUUGCUCAUAUUCCUUUUCUCAUGUAGGUUAACUGGAGCUGUUCACAGUAUAGUCCCUCAGGAAGCCAAGACUGAUGGAGACCUAUUUGUAUUCUACUCCCUUGAUUUCCAGAAAUGGGUUUGGAGGUUGAGACUACAGUAAACCACACAAGAGUGUGAGUUUCUACCUGGAAAUAACAGAUGUCACUCUCCUCACAUUUCAUUGCCCAAAGCAAGAAUUACAGUUUAACAGGGGCAAGGAGAGAGGCUGACAACUGAACUCAACCUUCAAGCAUGGCUCCUAGGAAUCUGUGGAGGAAGUGGCCAUGACCUUUCUUCCUGCUUCACUGGUUUCUGAGGACCUUCCGUCUCCUUGCACAGCUCUGUGGAAGGAAUAGUUCGAACAGUCCUCGACUGGAAUUUCUGACAUGCAUAGCACAACGACAAACUAAGCAACAUGAUAGCCAUUUGGAGUAUCUAAAACUGUUCCUUCUGAGAAGGGAGAGACCACCACCAAGACUGAACUUUUCAUGAUGAUUAUUUCCAUGAUUAGUUGCCUCAUCCUCUCAUGUCCAGUUCCCUGCCAAACCUGGGAGAAGAGAUGAAUAUAAGGGUCAUUUGUGAAUAGAAGUGGCCUGAUGCAUGACAAUAGAGUGACGGCUAUAAGGACCACUUUCUGGAGUCGGGCAGCCAAACUGUGAUUCUACUCUUUCGGUUCUACGAUUUGGGCAAUAUUGUGGAUCUCUUUGAUACUUUUGUUUCCCCAUAAGUAAAAACAGGAUAAUAUAAUGUCCACGUUGUUGUGCAGAUUAAGAAAAACCUUGCAGCUACUAAAUCGUCAAUCCCUAUUAACUUUUAAGCAGAUAGUGUUGCACAGCAGUUAAGAAUGAAAGCCCUGGAGCCAGACUGCCUUGGUUUCAAUCCCAAUACUGUCACUUACUGUGUGGUUUUUGGCAAGUUAUUUAUUCUCUCUAUGUCCCAGUUCCCUCUUGUGCCCAAAGGGGAUAUGAUAUCCAUUAGUACUGAUGUAAGGAUUUAAUGACUCAACAUAUGGGUGGCUCAGGACAGCUCCAAUUUUUGCCUUUUUCUUAGUAUUCAGAUUGGCUUAGCAUUUGCAACUCCCCUUUAACUCUCAAAAGUGUCCCAGGUUGGACAGUUAAGUACAUGAUCACGUAGCUAAUGUAUAUAUCAGUGAUGGUGAACCUUUUAGAGACCAGUGCUCAAAUUGUAACCCAAAACCCAGUUAUUUAUUACAAAAUGCCAACACUGUGAUUAAACCUAAGUACUGAAGUUUUAGUUUAGAAAAAAACAACUCAUACAUUAAUGUCUUCUGUCUUAAAAACAAAUAAACACGUCAUAGGUUCACCACCUCUGGUAAAUACCAUUUAGAAAAUGGCCUGGUAUAGAGUAGAUGCUAAAUGUGUGUUAGCUGCUAAAAGAAAUAUGAUGUAAGCUAUACAAUAAUUUUUAAUUUUUCAGUAAUCACAUUUUUAAAAAUAAGAAAACAUAUAGGUUAACAAAUAGUGUUAAUAAUAUCCCAAACAUUAGUAUUUCUAUAUGAAAUAUAGAAAGUAUUAAUGAAACUUUAUUCAGGUUUUUAUUCUUACUGACCCUGGAAUCUGGUGUAUUUUUCAUAUACUGUACCAUAUAGCACAUUUCAAUUGAGACUAGCAACAUUUCCAGUGCCCAGUGGCCCUGUGUAUGUCGUGGCUACCAUAUUGGGUGGCAUGGCUCUAAGGAUCUGCAUUCCUCAUGUGUGGUGAUGGGCCAGAGUCUUAAGUCCUUCCAGGUCUGUACUUCCAUGAUUGAGAUGUUCGUCUUCUCUGCCAUAGUCUGCAAGGAGGCCACCGAUAUAGGGUUUUGGAGUCCAUUUAUUACCAAAUAUCAUAGCUUUAAUCUACUGAGUAGGUGGCUUCCUCGCAAGUGAGUAUUUAUAGGCUCC
Heterocephalus glaber (naked mole-rat) is the source of this 1934-nucleotide long non-coding RNA. RefSeq lists it as uncharacterized. Lineage: Eukaryota; Metazoa; Chordata; Mammalia; Rodentia; Bathyergidae. The record is from RefSeq and is a predicted model, not a curated record.